UACAGAGGUCUCAAGCGUUGUUCGGAUUCAUUGGGCGUAAAGGGUGUGUAGGUGGCGCCGUAAGUCGGGUGUGAAAUCUUGGAGCUUAACUCCGAAACUGCAUUCGAUACUGCCGUGCUUGAGGACUGGAGAGGAGACUGGAAUUUACGGUGUAGCGGUGAAAUGCGUAGAUAUCGUGAGGAAGACCAGUGGCGAAGGCGGGUUUCUGGAGAGUUCCUGACGCUGAGGCACGAAGGCCAGGGGAGCAAACGGG
Molecule: ribosomal RNA, 253 nt
Filed under: uncultured bacterium
Lineage: Bacteria
Description: partial 16S ribosomal RNA
Rfam family: Bacterial small subunit ribosomal RNA
Source: RNAcentral